This 1114-nucleotide ribosomal RNA is filed under the name Oceanobacillus picturae. Its description in RNAcentral is "bacterial SSU rRNA". It matches the Rfam family "Bacterial small subunit ribosomal RNA", at positions 243 to 1348 of the family's 1533-position model. The record is from RNAcentral. Lineage: Bacteria; Bacillati; Bacillota; Bacilli; Caryophanales; Bacillaceae.
AGUUAGUUGGUGAGGUAACGGCUCCCCAAGGGGGACGAUGGGUAGCCGACCUGAGAGGGUGAUCGGCCACACUGGGAUUGAGACACGGCCCAGAUUCCUACGGGAGGCAGCAGUAGGGAAUCUUCCGCAAUGGACGAAAGUCUGACGGAGCAACGCCGCGUGAGUGAUGAAGGUUUUCGGAUCGUAAAACUCUGUUGUUAGGGAAGAACAAGUACGAUAGUAACUGAUCGUACCUUGACGGUACCUAACCAGAAAGCCACGGCUAACUACGUGCCAGCAGCCGCGGUAAUACGUAGGUGGCAAGCGUUGUCCGGAAUUAUUGGGCGUAAAGCGCUCGCAGGCGGUCCUUUAAGUCUGAUGUGAAAUCUCGCGGCUCAACCGCGAACGGUCAUUGGAAACUGGAGGACUUGAGUACAGAAGAGGAGAGUGGAAUUCCAACGGGUAGCGGUGAAAUGCGUAGAGAUGUGGAGGAACACCAGUGGCGAAGGCGACUCUCUGGUCUGUAACUGACGCUGAGGAGCGAAAGCGUGGGGAGCGAACAGGAUUAGAUACCCUGGUAGUCCACGCCGUAAACGAUGAGUGCUAGGUGUUAGGGGGUUUCCGCCCCUUAGUGCUGAAGUUAACGCAUUAAGCACUCCGCCUGGGGAGUACGGCCGCAAGGCUGAAACUCAAAAGAAUUGACGGGGGCCCGCACAAGCGGUGGAGCAUGUGGUUUAAUUCGAAGCAACGCGAAGAACCUUACCAGGUCUUGACAUCCUCUGCCAUUCCUAGAGAUAGGAAGUUCCCUUCGGGGACAGAGUGACAGGUGGUGCAUGGUUGUCGUCAGCUCGUGUCGUGAGAUGUUGGGUUAAGUCCCGCAACGAGCGCAACCCUUGAUCUUAGUUGCCAGCAUUUAGUUGGGCACUCUAAGGUGACUGCCGGUGACAAACCGGAGGAAGGUGGGGAUGACGUCAAAUCAUCAUGCCCCUUAUGACCUGGGCUACACACGUGCUACAAUGGAUGGAACAAAGGGAAGCAAAACCGCGAGGUCAAGCAAAUCCCAUAAAACCAUUCUCAGUUCGGAUUGCAGGCUGCAACUCGCCUGCAUGAAGCCGGAAUCGCUAGUAAUCGCGGA